AGUGAACGCUGGCGGUAGGCCUAACACAUGCAAGUCGAACGGCAGCACAGUAAGAGCUUGCUCUUACGGGUGGCGAGUGGCGGACGGGUGAGGAAUACAUCGGAAUCUACUUUUUCGUGGGGGAUAACGUAGGGAAACUUACGCUAAUACCGCAUACGACCUACGGGUGAAAGCAGGGGAUCUUCGGACCUUGCGCGAUUGAAUGAGCCGAUGUCGGAUUAGCUAGUUGGCGGGGUAAAGGCCCACCAAGGCGACGAUCCGUAGCUGGUCUGAGAGGAUGCUCAGCCACACUGGAACUGAGACACGGUCCAGACUCCUACGGGAGGCAGCAGUGGGGAAUAUUGGACAAUGGGCGCAAGCCUGAUCCAGCCAUACCGCGUGGGUGAAGAAGGCCUUCGGGUUUUAAAGCCCUUUUGUUGGGAAAGAAAAGCAGCAGGUUAAUACCCCGCUGUUCUGACGGUACCCAAAGAAUAAGCACCGGCUAACUUCGUG
RNAcentral lists this ribosomal RNA (492 nucleotides) under uncultured bacterium. RNAcentral's name for it is "partial 16S ribosomal RNA". It matches the Rfam family "Bacterial small subunit ribosomal RNA", at positions 29 to 507 of the family's 1533-position model. The record is from RNAcentral.